GUAAAGAGCUCGUACGUGGUUUGUCGCGUUGUUCGUGAAAUCUCACGGCUUAACUGUGAGCGUGCGGGCGAUACGGGCAGACUAGAGUACUGCAGGGGAGACUGGAAUUCCUGGUGUAGCGGUGGAAUGCGCAGAUAUCAGGAGGAACACCGGUGGCGAAGGCGGGUCUCUGGGCAGUAACUGACGCUGAGGAGCGAAAGCGUGGGGAGCGGACAGGAUUAGAUACCCUGGUAGUCCACGCCGUAAACGGUGGGUACUAGGUGUGGGUUUCCUUCCUUGGGAUCCGUGCCGUAGCUAACGCAUUAAGUACCCCGCCUGGGGAGUACGGCCGCAAGGCUAAAACUCAAAGGAAUUGACGGGGGCCCGCACAAGCGGCGGAGCAUGUGGAUUAAUUCGAUGCAACGCGAAGAACCUUACCUGGGUUUGACAUGCACAGGACGCGUCUAGAGAUAGGCGUUCCCUUGUGGCCUGUGUGCAGGUGGUGCAUGACUGUCGUCAGCUCGUGUCGUGAGAUGUUGGGUUAAGUCCCGCAACGAGCGCAACCCUUGUCUCAUGUUGCCAGCGGGUAAUGCCGGGGACUCGUGAGAGACUGCCGGGGUCAACUCGGAGGAAGGUGGGGAUGACGUCAAGUCAUCAUGCCCCUUAUGUCCAGGGCUUCACACAUGCUACAAUGGCCGGUACAAAGGGCUGCGAU
RNAcentral lists this ribosomal RNA (694 nucleotides) under uncultured Mycobacterium sp. Its description in RNAcentral is "bacterial SSU rRNA". It matches the Rfam family "Bacterial small subunit ribosomal RNA", at positions 560 to 1253 of the family's 1533-position model. The record is from RNAcentral. Lineage: Bacteria; Bacillati; Actinomycetota; Actinomycetes; Mycobacteriales; Mycobacteriaceae.